UUGCAGACAUUUGUCACUAACGUCCGAUAGACCCUGGUCAUCCCAUCCUUGGAAUCCUCCUGCGGUGAAGGCAGAGUUAGUCGGACAGAAUGAAGGAGACAGGCGGAAGAGAACAGAGAUCUUGGUGGCUCGUGCUAGCCCAGCUGAGAGGGCGCCACAGCAGUUACUGUUCUACUUGUCAUUUUGAAGAGUUCCAGGAAACCCAACAUUGGGUCCCCAUGCUGUAAUGAUGAGGAAGCAGUAGCACGACUGGAGUAAUUGAAUACAGCAUCUUCCUCAAACUGCAAGAAGUUGAUGAAAGCCACCCUCUGCCUGCAUUCGAGGCUCCUCCCUGAGACCGUGUCCUGCACAGUGUCGAUCCCUGCACCAUGCACAUGUUUGUGGACAGAGCGAGCUACUCCCUCACUUGAUCACCAAGGCAGGCAAGAGCCACCAUGUCUGACCAGAAACAAAGCCGGUGGCCAGAGUGUGACUGAUGGAAAUGGAAGGGUGUGACCACUCACAGUGAACUUCCAAAGUCCCCCGAAGUCAUCACUUCUCUCAAAGCAGGAGGGCGGAUAGGAAUGGAGAUAAUGAUACAGAAAGACAAGUCUCACUCCUAUGGACUGGGUAGGGAUCCUUAACCCUGUGCAGAGGCAGGACUGAUGGACAUACUGGAGAACAGAACCCCCUGGAGAGCCAUAUGGGCCAUUUUGGAGUCCAAGAAAAGACAGCUCAGACAGAAGAAAUUCAUCAACACACUUUGGAAACAAAGAGACAAACACUGUGGAUCCCUUUGGGUCCACCAGCUUCUAACAGGAAAUAAAUGGC
Molecule: non-coding RNA, 810 nt
Organism: Ictidomys tridecemlineatus (thirteen-lined ground squirrel)
Lineage: Eukaryota; Metazoa; Chordata; Mammalia; Rodentia; Sciuridae
Source: RefSeq, a predicted model, not a curated record